Sporothrix brasiliensis 5110 is the source of this 98-nucleotide non-coding RNA. The record is from the annotation of a RefSeq genome assembly. NCBI's taxonomy places the organism in Eukaryota, Fungi, Ascomycota, Sordariomycetes, Ophiostomatales, Ophiostomataceae.
GGCACAGUGCCAGAGUGGUUAAUGGGUGAGACUUGAAUUUCCUGAUUCAAUCCUAUCUCAUGGCUUCGGCCGCGCAUGUUCGAACCAUGCCUGUGUCG